Molecule: long non-coding RNA, 214 nt
Filed under: Elaeis guineensis (African oil palm)
Lineage: Eukaryota; Viridiplantae; Streptophyta; Magnoliopsida; Arecales; Arecaceae
Description: long non-coding RNA (EGUI_LNC071660)
Source: RNAcentral
UGGUGAUUAUUUAAUUAGUUCUGUUGCUGGUCUAGCUAAUUUUAUUGGUAUCUAAGAAAAGUAACGGAGGGAUCCUCACCAAUCUUAAUACUUUUCUGAUCAAUUAGAUUAGUUCGAAUCUUGAAUGAAGGUAGCUCAGUAUUUUGAACACUACAUAUACCUUCCUUCAUGCCUAGUCAAUAUCUUGUCAAAAAUCAUAGUAUGCUUGUUGUGA